UUUUCCUUUCUAUUUCCCUAAAUGUUUCCCCUGCGCCGCUUCUCUCAACCCUCUCCCUCUCUUGGCUCGACCGAGAGCCACAAAGGCCUCACGACCUCACUGGUCACCGUAAAUCGGUAGCCACCCUUACUCCGGUCGCUGCCUAGCACGAUUGAAAAGCCCAAAAUACCACCGAAAUCGACCUAAAAGCCUUUACUUUCUCUCUAUCCUCUUCUCACGGCCGAACCUCCUCCAAGAGCUUGCCACCACCAUAAAUCAGUGUCUUUCGCCUCUCCGAACGCCACCAACGGUGGUCGAUUGAACUUGAAUCUAGCCCUAAAACAAAACCUAAGCCCUCUCCUUCCUCUUCUAACCCAAAACAGAGAAGAAAAGAAGCUAACACAACCCCCUUCUAAGCGAGCAGCCGGCGAGGCCUCGAUUCCUCAACUUACGAAGGACGACAGACCCCUUCUUGACGUCAAGACCUCAACUACUAUAGCUAAAGGUAUUGACAGAAGCAUGAGUGGACCACUAGUUUUGUGACUUGUUGGUGAGGCUGUCGUGGAGCAGGGGUCACGAGACCAGCGAUGUGUUUUCGUUGAGUGCCUGCUUGGACUACCAACGGGAGAGCGUGGUAUUGGAACGUGGCUUGUUGUGUGCUGCUCACGUGGGAAUAGAGGUGCUGGAAUGUUCACACAUGGGUGAGGGAUCACACGAGCUGCUGGGAGGACUUGGGAACACUGCUCGAUGGCCAUGGUUCAAGCUGAUGAGGCAUAAGAGAGCACAUGUUUUGUUGUGGAGCUACUGGCGUGUGCUGAGGCAUCAACGUUCUGCCAGGGUUAUUAACCCGGGAAAAAUUAGGUUAUUACAAGUUUGAACAGAAUUCUUCAUUAAAAUUUUCAAAGGACAAUAUAUUAGAAUUUGAAGCA
This is a long non-coding RNA of Hibiscus syriacus, 908 nucleotides long. RefSeq lists it as uncharacterized. The transcript has 2 exons. NCBI's taxonomy places the organism in Eukaryota, Viridiplantae, Streptophyta, Magnoliopsida, Malvales, Malvaceae. The record is from RefSeq and is a predicted model, not a curated record.